This is a non-coding RNA of Patiria miniata (bat star), 83 nucleotides long. Lineage: Eukaryota; Metazoa; Echinodermata; Asteroidea; Valvatida; Asterinidae. The record is from the annotation of a RefSeq genome assembly.
GUCAGGGUGGCCGAGCGGUCUAAGGCGUUGCAUUCAAGCUGCAUUCUACUCUGUAGGCGUGGGUUCGAAUCCCACUCCUGACA